Long non-coding RNA from Mercenaria mercenaria, 1561 nucleotides. RefSeq lists it as uncharacterized. The record is from RefSeq and is a predicted model, not a curated record. NCBI's taxonomy places the organism in Eukaryota, Metazoa, Mollusca, Bivalvia, Venerida, Veneridae. The transcript is spliced from 2 exons.
CUUUUCCAGUGUGGGGAAUCACGUGACCCAAAAUGGUACGGAACACGGAAGUCAACAUGGCGGAUUUCUGACUUUUUUACCAAUUUUCAAAGAAAUCGCCAAACCUAAGAAGAAACCGGGUCUGACACUUGGGAAAAAAAGUGGAUAAAGAAGCAAAACAAGAAUAUCAAUAUCAAAGUAACUUUCCAAUUGCCGCAAUCCGUCAAGAAAUCACAAGCGAAAAGGCUGCUUACGCCAUCUAAAUCCCCUAUGUACAACAUAUCUCCAGCAAAUUAAAAAUAAAGUGAAUUUGGUCACCUGACGUUUCCAAAAAAGACCAAAAAAAAACAACAGUUUACAAUAACUCCCGAUGAAAGUCUUCAAGAUCACUUUCUGGACAUGUAGAGGAAAACAGUGAUACCAGAGACGAUGUAGAACGCUUCUUAAACACUGAAUUACUGUGUGAAGAAAUGUGAAGAAAUCACAUGUUCGAUACUGCAAGCAGAAAGAGACUUCCUGUGAGAAGAAAACAGGGUACUGUUAGUACAUCAAGGAACGCAGUUCAGAAAGAAGCUCUGUGUAUAAGGUGGGAGAAGGCUAGGACGAAUGAAUCUAAAAUGCUACCGAUGAAGAGGAUGGGACUGGACUGAGAAGUGCAUAUGAACGAGAAAAGAAAUAGUUACGAUAUCAGUACCGAAAAUAAAAGGAGGAUGAUAUAAAUACAAUUGGAGAAAAGAAAAAAUAUUUGAGUACUUAAUGUGAAAAGGAAUGUGAUAUAAAUCUACACUAAAUGAGACGAGGAAUUUAAUACAAUUGCGGGAAGUGAAAUAGAUACUGACUGAAGAAAGAACCGAUGUUUUUAAUAGUAAACAUUAGGGAAAAAUUGAUAUAUUCAGUAAACGAUGUGAAAACUGUGAGUACAAUCAUGGGGCUAAAUUUUAUGCAAAAGGACAUUAUGUGAUAUAAAUUGGCAUACUCAAUGGGAAUAGAAAGACUCGAUGACAUUGAGAAAAAGAAAUUUCUAAUGACAGUGUUCUUCUUUGAUUUUGUUUUAAUUUAUUGUUGGAAGCUUGCUGUAUAAAUUCUGUAUAGAUAAUGAAAAUGAGCUUUGAUAGCUUUUUCUGUCAAUUAAAAAAAAUGAUAUGUUUUUUUCUUUGCACAUGUUUUUGUGACAUAAUUGUGUUUAAUUAUGUUUUUAAUUGCAAUAAAGAAGUAACCGAACUGUUACUCAAGUUUCUAAUCACUGUGAAAUUGAAAAGAUAGAGGGUUUACGUUAGAGCCCAACUAAUAACAGCUUCUUUAUAUGAGAGAACUAGGUAGUUUGGAUCUUGUUAUGGUUCUUCCAAAGCCUCUUUCCGCUUCUAAGUAUCUGGAAUACUGUUUCAAUGGACAAUAUAGCCACCAAAAAACAAAAUCAGUUUGAAUUAUUAUAAUUAUUUAUUAAUUGUUCAUCUUUUGUACGUAAAUAUAAAAUGCUUAUUUAACUUGAACUCCUGGUUAAAUCACACUUUACUCACACAUAAAUAAUACUUGAGCAAAUUGCAAGUAUACACACACACACACACACAUAUAUAUAUAUAUA